CACGUAGGGUGCGAGCGUUGUCCGGAAUUAUUGGGCGUAAAGAGCUCGUAGGCGGUGUGUCGCGUCGGCUGUGAAAACCCGGAGCUCAACUCCGGGCCUGCAGUCGAUACGGGCGGACUUGAGUGUUGCAGGGGAGACUGGAAUUCCUGGUGUAGCGGUGAAAUGCGCAGAUAUCAGGAGGAACACCGGUGGCGAAGGCGGGUCUCUGGGCAACUACUGACGCUGAGGAGCGAAAGCGUGGGGAGCGAACAGG
This 253-nucleotide ribosomal RNA is filed under the name uncultured bacterium. RNAcentral's name for it is "partial 16S ribosomal RNA". It matches the Rfam family "Bacterial small subunit ribosomal RNA", at positions 524 to 776 of the family's 1533-position model. The record is from RNAcentral.